AACGAACGCUGGCGGCAUGCCUAACACAUGCAAGUCGAACGAUGCCUUCGGGCAUAGUGGCGCACGGGUGCGUAACGCGUGGGAAUCUGCCCCUGGGUUCGGAAUAACAGCGAGAAAUUGCUGCUAAUACCGGAUGAUGACGAAAGUCCAAAGAUUUAUCGCCCAGGGAUGAGCCCGCGUAGGAUUAGCUAGUUGGUGAGGUAAGAGCUCACCAAGGCGACGAUCCUUAGCUGGUCUGAGAGGAUGAUCAGCCACACUGGGACUGAGACACGGCCCAGACUCCUACGGGAGGCAGCAGUGGGGAAUAUUGGACAAUGGGCGAAAGCCUGAUCCAGCAAUGCCGCGUGAGUGAUGAAGCCUUAGGGUUGUAAAGCUCUUUUACCCGGGAUGAUAAUGACAGUAACCGGGAGAAUAAGCUCCGGCUAAC
This 427-nucleotide ribosomal RNA is filed under the name Sphingomonas sp. oral taxon 004. RNAcentral's name for it is "bacterial SSU rRNA". It matches the Rfam family "Bacterial small subunit ribosomal RNA", at positions 29 to 501 of the family's 1533-position model. Lineage: Bacteria; Pseudomonadati; Pseudomonadota; Alphaproteobacteria; Sphingomonadales; Sphingomonadaceae. The record is from RNAcentral.